CAGCCGCCGCGGUAAUACCGGCGGCCCGAGUGGCGGCCACUAUUAUUGGGCUUAAAGCGUCCGUAGCCGGGUUGGUUAGUCUCCCGGGAAAUCUGGCCGCUUAACGGUCAGAAUUCCGGGAGAUACUGCCAGCCUAGGGACCGGGAGAGGCCGAGGGUAUUCCCGGAGUAGGGGUGAAAUCCUAUAAUCCCGGGAGGACCACCUGUGGCGAAGGCGCUCGGCUGGAACGGGUCCGACGGUGAGGGACGAAGGCCAGGGGAGCAAACCGGAUUAGAUACCCGGGUAGUCCUGGCUGUAAACGAUGCGGACUUUGUGUCGGACAAGCUAUGAGCUUGUCCGGUGCCGGAGGGAAACCGUUAAGUCCGCCGCCUGGGGAGUACGGCCGCAAGGCUGAAACUUAAGGAAUUGGCGGG
This 413-nucleotide ribosomal RNA is filed under the name uncultured microorganism. RNAcentral's name for it is "bacterial SSU rRNA". It matches the Rfam family "Archaeal small subunit ribosomal RNA", at positions 459 to 872 of the family's 1478-position model. The record is from RNAcentral.